GUGCUUGCUUCAACAGCACAUAUUAAAAUUGGAACAUUACGAAGAUUAGCAUGCCCCUGCACAAGGAUGGGGAUAUUAUUGUGGUUAAAAAUUCAU
This 96-nucleotide small nuclear RNA is filed under the name Sorex araneus (European shrew). The record is from RNAcentral. Lineage: Eukaryota; Metazoa; Chordata; Mammalia; Eulipotyphla; Soricidae.